GAUGAGAGAGGGAGCAUCAGAAUGUCGGAUCACCAUACAUGACACUGGAGGAGAGAAAGCUUCUUCUCUAACCGACCAUGGUCGAAGACGACAACCACUGCAAUAGAUCUGUCUCAAAUUUUUGAGUUUUUAGAUCUAUGUUGUUUAUGCGACUGAUUUGUCUCUUGAUUCCUAAUCUAUGGACUCGUCUUUUUAGUUUUUCUUUUGGUUUCUAAAUUCAAUUUAGGUUUGGAUGAUGAAUCUUGAGCCUGCUAGAAGCUUUUUUGGUCGACUUGGUUAUAACAAAGUCGUAUUGUAACCAUAACUCAACAUUUGAUUAUAACAAAGCCGUAUUGUAACCAUAAAUCAGCCAUAACGUUUGCAUAAC
RNAcentral lists this long non-coding RNA (367 nucleotides) under Brassica rapa (field mustard). Its description in RNAcentral is "long non-coding RNA (BRAP_LNC007791)". The record is from RNAcentral. Lineage: Eukaryota; Viridiplantae; Streptophyta; Magnoliopsida; Brassicales; Brassicaceae.